This is a long non-coding RNA of Homo sapiens (human), 592 nucleotides long. The record is from Ensembl. NCBI's taxonomy places the organism in Eukaryota, Metazoa, Chordata, Mammalia, Primates, Hominidae.
AAACCUUGCAAAGCUCUCCAUUUCACCCAGAGUAAAAGCUGAAAUCCUUACUGUGAUCAAUAAGCCCUGUAUGAUCUUUAAGCUCCCUCCCUUCUCUCCCCUGGGCUUAUUCUGUUCUAUCCACCCAAGAUUCCUUUGCUGUUGCUUGAACACUCCAGACAUACUGCUGCCUCAGGGCCUUUGAAAAUACAUCACAUGACUAACUUUGGCAUCUCCUUCAGUCUUCAGUCACAUAUGCCUUUACAGUGCGAUGGCACUGUAGAAGUGUAGGUGAUAUCACAACUUCCUCAAUUCUUUGACUUGUCACAAUGAGCAUAAAUUACUUUUGUAAUUUUAUAGGACACUCAUGGAGGGAAAUCUAUACACAGAAACACACACACACAGGGAGAAAGCCAUGUGAAGACAGGCAGAGACUGGGGUAAUGCAGCUACAAGGGAAUGUCAGAGAUUGCUAGCAAACACCAGAAGCUGGAAGAGGCAAUUAAGGAUUGCUCCCUAGAGCUUUUAGAGGGAGGACGGCUCUGCCACCUGCCUUGUUCUUGGACUCCUAGCCUCCAGAAUUGUGAGAGAAUAAAUUUCUGUUGUUUAAACUA